Long non-coding RNA from Amphiprion ocellaris (clown anemonefish), 2859 nucleotides. RefSeq lists it as uncharacterized. NCBI's taxonomy places the organism in Eukaryota, Metazoa, Chordata, Actinopteri, Pomacentridae. The transcript is spliced from 4 exons. The record is from RefSeq and is a predicted model, not a curated record.
CCAGAGAGCAGUGUUUGGUCAGACCAUAGAUAAUAUAGAAGACAGCGCGCUAGCGUAUCUAGUCUAUGUAUAUCUAUGGUCGGCACGUCUGGUAGCAUCUCUGGCUGCUGUUGACCUUGUUUUUGGAGUAAAACACGGUGGAAGCUGAAUUAGUGAGGAUGACUCCUGCUCCUGUCAUCUCUAAGCUCCUCACACAUCUUUACCUGCACAUGAGGAAAAUCACUCCUGUAGAAUGCAGAUGUUCAGAGGGAGAUGAUGCCACAUCUGGUCCAGCUGAUGGAAGGUCUUGAAGUUCUCUGACUGGCCUGGACUGAAGAUGGUCGUCUCACUGGAUUUAAGGUUCAGAUGCUCAGUAACAAACUCCACCAAUGAGCCAACAGGGAAGCUUUAGGUUUAUUAAAUGUUGCUAUGAAGGUUUCGCUGUUUUUCUUUGUGAAUGCAAUGUGCUCCAACUGAAACUUGAAGUAGAACUUAGAAGUAAAUCCUUCCAUCUGAAAGGAUUUAGUUGCAUUGAUAACCUCAUAACAUUCUAAUUUUUAUUCCAGUCUUGGUUGGAAAUAGAAUCUCUGUAUUGAUUUAGGUAAAAACUGAACUUCACAGCAUGUUGAAGCAAAACAACCAGAUGAAAACUGUGAUGGUGUUGGAUUGUCAGACCGUAAUGUUGCAGCUCAAAGCAGCUUUUCUAGCUCAGUUCAUUCUGACAUUCAGCUAUGAAUCAACACAGCAGAUGGUGAUCCAUGCUGUGGAAGUCUCACAUCUCCUGAUUUAAUGGAGCUGCUUUGCACUUUUUACACUGUUUAUUCACCAACACUUUAUUUAAUAAAAGUCCCAUCUAGUUUUCAUGAGGAAUGUGAUGUUUUAAUUUCUCUGUGAAUAACUGCAGUCUAAUGCAACAGCUGGAGUUGUAACAUCUGUCCUGAUAUUGAUCAUGAAGUAUUGAUCAGAAUACUUAUGGUUAGCAGUCAUCCCUGAAGUUUUACAUUAAAAUCUUUACUUGUGUUGUGAACUUUGGUAAGAAGCAGAAACGGUAGCGUUGCCAUGGAUACAUGAGUGUUAAAUUCUGUCCAUGUUUCCAUUUUGGGAAAUUCAGUCCAGUUCCAGAAUGUGGAGGAAUUUAGUCUCGCAAUCACAGACAACAAAUAUUAUCUGAAAGUCGGGUUAUUGUUGUUUAUCAGCACAAUACAAAAAGAUUAAUGUUAGAAAUAUUCCAGUUAAGACUCUAGAAUAUCAUGAUUUAUGUAAAUUUACCUCAAUAAUAUGAAUGUUCAGGUUAAGAUUGUACAGUGAUAUUUAUUAUGUAAGUUUAGCUGAUUAAAGUUUAUGACUGCACUAAAAUAUUAUUUAAAUUGACAUCAUUAUUAUAAUAUUUAGGGUCAGACCCUACAGUAUUGAGAUUAAGAAAUCAAAUAUUCUAUAAAAUGUAAAUACACUGAACUCAUUUGGAUAUAUUUAAGUGAGACUCUACAAUAUUAUUUGACACAAAUCUAAAUCAAAAUUUUAAGAAUUUUCAUGCCAAACAUUUACUGGACUGAUUUAAAUAUUAAAAUCACUCCUUUCUAAUCCUCUGCUGUACGUUCAAACCUGAGGCCUUAAAUAGAAACACACAAGUAUCUGUUUGAAGGAACUUCUGCAGAGUCCUGGUUCCAGAACAUGAUGAUAGAAUUAUAGACAAACUUUAACAAAAGCUGCCUGAGAGUUUACAGGUUUUUAUGUUAGAUUUCUUCAGUAAUUUAAUGAGCGUUAUCAGCAAAAAUCAAGUGUUCAUUUGAUGAACUUCAUUUCCUAAAACAUCCAGAAUUGGAGCUCAUAUGUUUGGCAGCUGUAAAGUUUCUGCUCCUUCAAAGUUCACAACACAAUGAAUGAAUUCCUAAAACACUCUCAAUGCUGGAGAGCGUUUGAUGCUGAAGCAGUGACCAGUUUUUCUGUUUCUUCUCUGGAGAUGCACAAUGAGGGACGUCUGCAGAGACUGAGAAAGAGUCUCACCACAUCCUGACAUGAGGAAAAAGACUUCAUUGAAGACUACAAUGAGAAAAACUAUCAGACAGCAGACGGCUGCAUUCAAGGUGAGCUCUGAACAUUUGAUCUGGAACAGGAAUUCAAUAAUGGCAGCAUGAGCUUCAUUUCAGUCUGUAGCUGCUGAAUUCAUGGAUGAAUCAUCUGGCACUAGAGAGGAAGACCAUCAAACAUCCAUGUCAGCUGAUGGAGGUCCAAGAGUCUCACCAAACAAACAACCUACAGAGUGAAGACCUCAAAUCUGAUUGGACAGCCUCCUAUUCAGCCACAUGUGUGAACAAAUGCCUCUAAGCUGAUUUGUUUUCUAAAAUAAAUCUAGUUUGAGUCCUAAUCUAUGCCUGUGUGUUUGCUUCUUUACACUGCUGUUAACAGUUUAGGCUGUUAGAUUGUUCCAGAUAAGACAAGUACAAGAUUCUUCAGAGCCGUUCUACCACGAGCCUGACAGGAAGAACUCCAACAGCUACUGAAUGUUCCUGUGGUUCCCUCAAGGCUACAGGAGGAGCCCUAUGAGGACGAGCCGGUCCACCUGAUGGUGGCCAGUCGCUGUGGUUCAAAGCCAACACCGACUACGUGGACUUCUACUGGACCACACGGAGGCCUUCAAACCGGACCAACAAGUUCAGCGACUCCCCGACUCGUGGGUCUGAGGACGCCGCCGAGCCUCGGCCCAGCCAGCCUCCUGUCUGUGGGUGUUUGAGUGCUGAGAGGGAUUACCACAGACCUGACCGUGAACACCGUUGACACCCACCUGAGGGAGACGCUGCCUGUGAUCUCAAGGCUGCUUGGUCAUGGUCUUUCUGGUCCUGCUCCAGAACGCCUUCAUCAACUACGUCUUCUUUUGAAGAG